UUAAAAGUUCGGGGNUUAACCCCGUGAUGGGAUGGAAACUGCUGAUCUAGAGUAUNGGAGAGGAAAGUGGAAUUCCUAGUGUAGCGGUGAAAUGCGUAGAUAUUAGGAAGAACACCAGUGGCGAAGGCGACUUUCUGGACGAAAACUGACGCUGAGGCGCGAAAGCCAGGGGAGCGAACGGGAUUAGAUACCCCGGUAGUCCUGGCCGUAAACGAUGGGUACUAGGUGUAGGAGGUAUCGACCCCUUCUGUGCCGGAGUUAACGCAAUAAGUACCCCGCCUGGGGAGUACGACCGCAAGGUUGAAACUCAAAGGAAUUGACGGGGGCCCGCACAAGCGGUGGAGUAUGUGGUUUAAUUCGACGCAACGCGGAGAACCUUACCAGGUCUUGACAUUGAUGGACAGAACUAGAGAUGGUUCCUCUUCUUCGGAAGCCAGAAAACAGGUGGUGCACGGUUGUCGUCAGCUCGUGUCGUGAGAUGUUGGGUUAUGUCCCGCAACGAGCGCAACCCCUAUCUUAUGUUGCCAGCACUUUGGGAGGGAACUCAUGAGAGACUGCCGCAGACAGUGCGGAGGAAGGCGGGGAUGACGUCAAAUCAUCAUGCCCCUUAUGACCUGGGCUACACACGUACUACAAUGGGAGAUAAUAGACGGAAGCGAGAUCGCGAGAUGGAGCAAACCCGAGAAACACUCUCUCAGUUCGGAUCGUAGGCUGCAACUCGCCUACGUGAAGUCGGAAUCGCUAGUAAUCGCAGGUCAGCAUACUGCGGUGAAUACGUUCCCGGGCCUUGUA
This 792-nucleotide ribosomal RNA is filed under the name uncultured bacterium. RNAcentral describes it as "bacterial SSU rRNA". It matches the Rfam family "Bacterial small subunit ribosomal RNA", at positions 594 to 1385 of the family's 1533-position model. The record is from RNAcentral.